UAAAUGGACAUUUAGCACAAACUCUGUUAGCUAUCCCUCCAUUCAAAAUGAUGUUCCCUUUUACCUUCCCUUCUUUCCUACAUCUCUCUACCCAAAUCGAGUUUACUGAACCCAUGUUCUGCUCUCCUCUCCAACUAGUGAAGACAAAAGACAUCAUCGGCGGUCCUUCCUCCACUGGCGACCGGCGGCAGAACGUAGCAAUAUUCCACCGGUGAUGAAUGGCUUCAUCUGCGACUGAUCCUUGGGCGACCGACGAUAAAUCUUGGUCUUGAUCCACAAUUCAUGAUCCUUAAACCUAAUAUGGGUUUCGACACUAGUGCAGAGAUGAGUUCUCAAUCGACAUCUUAGAGCACAUAUUAUAAGAAAUUGAAGUAUCCAUCAAGAAUUUGUUAUUGUGGAAAGAAAUGUGUAAUCCGCGUGUCGGAGACAAAUUUGAACCCACAAAGGUUUUUUUAUAGUUGUCCCGGAAUCAUGGAAAAGAAAGUCAAUGUGGCAUUUUGCAAUUAUUUUGAAUGGGCAUUUCCUACAACCACUUCCGAUGAAGCUACAUCAUCAAUGAAUGUAGGACAUGCAGUAACUCACGCUGAAGAGAUCGAUAGGUUAUUAUUUGAAUUGAAUAGGUGUGUGCAAUCAAUGGAGUCAUCGAAGGAUCAUCAGCAGCUACUUUCUAAAGAAUUGAAGAGGACACGAGUUUUGCUCAUUAUUUUUAUAAUUGGGUUUCUUGUGGUGUAUAUGUUCAACAAAUAGCAGUUGGGAACUAUGGUUGCAGUAGAAAUGUAUUUUGACCAAGACUCUAGUAUUUAUGAUUAGGAACUAUGCGUAUUUAUGUUAGGGAUGAGCAUUGGACUCAGAUGGCAUUCAACCAUUUAUAUGUAUUUAAGCUUUUAGUUUGAUAUAUACUGAACCAUUUAUAUGUAUUCAAUCAUGUUGGAAGCUGAGUUGGUAGUAAACCUAGUAGGCUCCAAUUGAAUCAACACAUAUUAACAA
Nelumbo nucifera (sacred lotus) is the source of this 987-nucleotide non-coding RNA. Lineage: Eukaryota; Viridiplantae; Streptophyta; Magnoliopsida; Proteales; Nelumbonaceae. The record is from RefSeq and is a predicted model, not a curated record.